CGCUCGUGCGCCCCUCCCCUCCCUUACUCGCGCGGAUUAGCGCGUCACGAAAGCCAUGUCUAUUGUAAAGGUAAUGAUCACCCACUCGGCGAGCCAGCGAGUGGUGCCGGAGAAGGCGUACGGGCUUGCGCAGACGGUGCAGAGCAUUAGGGAAGAUAUGUACUCGCGUUUUGGCAUCCCGGCGGAACAGAUUCGGCUAGAGCUGUACGACACGCGCGACUGCAAGGUGGAGGGCAACAUGAAGGAUGAAAAGCUGCUGGGCUUUUACGGGUGCGAGACAGGUUAUCGCAUUCACGUCGUCGAUCUUCGACCUGCUGCGCAGGUGGAUAACUACGAUGACGUGUCGAAGGUAGAGAAGUACGAGAUGACGGACGAGGAGUGGCUUAAGCGGCCCGACAAUCUCCGCGCCUACAAGGAGCGUAUGCUGGCCCUGCAGCGGGAGGAGAUGGCGAAGGGUGGCAUCGAAGUGCCGUCCGGGCCGGACGAUGACAGUUACAAGGCGGAGGCGGACAAGAUAAAGGUGGGUGACCGUUGCUGUUGCCAACCCGGCGAGCGUCUCGGCACGGUGCGGUACGUCGGACGUGUGGCAGCGCUGAAGCCAGGGUAUUGGAUCGGCGUCGAGUUUGACGAGCCAGUCGGCAAAUCCAACGGCACGGUGAAGGGGGCAACGCUGUUUGAAUGCAUGCCCCUGUACGGCGGUGUGCUGCGCCCAAAUCAGGUAGAAGUGGGUGACUUUCCUCCUCAAGAGUACUGAGUGUGUGUAUGGUGGUGGUGGCUCCAUCAGUGCUGAUCUCCCUCCAAUACUGGGCACACACACACACACACACACACACAAGCGCCUCGUGUUGUCCGUCGCCUUCCUCCUCCCUCAGCUCGUUGGAAUGCUAGUGCGCGUUCAUCAUUUGUGUUGCGCGUGACGCUGAUGGUCUGUGCACGUGCGAAGGAAAGCUGGUCUGUGUGUGUGUGUGUGUGUGCGUCUGUGUCAAACUUUUUUUUUGGUCUCAUCGAGCACUCUACUCGGCGUUGAACGGCCGUUGAGCAACGAUAGGCAUCAACGCAGCAGCCGAGGGGCGCACGUAUCGUGAGGGCACCGCUUCAUUUUGCGUACUCGACGACACAAAGUGUGCGCGCGGAGAGAGCGCGAGCGCGCAAGAGGAGGGGGAGCAGUCGUUCCAGUGCCUGCGCCGCUGCCUCUUCUGCUCCAUCUUUACAUAUGCUUGCCUCUCCUCUCCCUUCCCUUCCAACCGUCUCGCCUGCUCUCUCUGUGCCCGCCUUUGGUUGUUGUCUUUCGCCACCCUCACUUGCUUGUUGUCUCACACACACACACACCGCCCCCCCCCCCCCCCCCCCCCGUCGGAUCGACUGAGACCAAUCUGUCGACUCGCUCCAUGGCCUCCGUGUAACUCCCUCUCUCUUACGAUGGCGAAG
Molecule: unclassified non-coding RNA, 1428 nt
Filed under: Leishmania donovani
Lineage: Eukaryota; Euglenozoa; Kinetoplastea; Trypanosomatida; Trypanosomatidae
Description: gene:LdHU3.18.0580(CDS-product:tubulin-specific_c haperone_putative)
Source: RNAcentral